Long non-coding RNA from Ctenopharyngodon idella (grass carp), 755 nucleotides. RefSeq lists it as uncharacterized. The record is from RefSeq and is a predicted model, not a curated record. Lineage: Eukaryota; Metazoa; Chordata; Actinopteri; Cypriniformes; Xenocyprididae. The transcript is spliced from 4 exons.
CAGAAGUGUUUUUGACUGAACAUCUACCCUAACACAAUUGCUUGAAUUGUCAUUAACUUUGUCAUUUUUGCCACACAGGUGAACUCUGAGGAAUACAAUGGUGUAAUCACUUUUGUAAAUACUGGCAAUAUGCACUGGACGUUUGUGUAUCUGCAUGCUAUAUCACAAACCAUUUUUGUUGUUGACCCUCAAUCUGGCACUAAUGAAAUGGAAGAAGCAGUGCUACAACAAAAGGCGUGUUACAGAUUUGGGGAAUACUUCAAAAUGAGAUAACGUCAGUAUGGAAAAGAGGACUGGGUGGAAGACAAAUGGAAACCUGGCAAAAUCCACCACACAUUUCAAAGAGAUGGCAUGAGUUGUGGUGAUUUUGUAAUGCAGAUGGCCAAGCUUGUGGUGCAGGAAUUUCCACAAAUUCCUGACAGCAUGGAAAUAACCCCCACCAAAGACUGGAUGUGCCAUUGUAACUUUAACCACGUGUGUCCUGCUUUCUCAGGUUCAGUGCAAAAAAUGCAAGAGGUGGUAUCAUAUAAAAUGCUUAAAUGUUGCAGUCCCACAGGAAGACCAAUCAUGGUUCUGUUGCUUAUGUAUUUGUUUGUUUUAAAAAAAAAAAAAAAAAAAAAAGUUUCUUUUUUGGAUUUUUGUUUCAAACAAUGUGUUAAUCUAUGCAGUGCUAAAACAUGAUUAUGUUUAUAUGUAGUUCACUUAGUUUAAAAACAAGACAUGUCUGUAAUAAAGAGCUGAAAACAAUCACUGAA